UGGGGAAUUUUGGACAAUUGGGCGAAAGCCUGAUCCAGCAAUGCCGCGUGUGUGAAGAAGGCCCUUCGGGUUGUAAAGCACUUUUGUCCGGAAAGAAAUCCUUGGCUCUAAUACAGUCGGGGGAUGACGGUACCGGAAGAAUAAGCACCGGCUAACUACGUGCCAGCAGCCGCGGUAAUACGUAGGGUGCAAGCGUUAAUCGGAAUUACUGGGCGUAAAGCGUGCGCAGGCGGUUUGCUAAGACCGAUGUGAAAUCCCCGGGCUCAACCUGGGAACUGCAUUGGUGACUGGCAGGCUAGAGUAUGGCAGAGGGGGGUAGAAUUCCACGUGUAGCAGUGAAAUGCGUAGAGAUGUGGAGGAAUACCGAUGGCGAAGGCAGCCCCCUGGGCCAAUACUGACGCUCAUGCACGAAAGCGUGGGGAGCAAACNGGAUUAGAUACCCUGGUAGUCCACGCCCUAAAACGAUGUCAACUAGUUGUU
This 480-nucleotide ribosomal RNA is filed under the name uncultured bacterium. RNAcentral's name for it is "partial 16S ribosomal RNA". It matches the Rfam family "Bacterial small subunit ribosomal RNA", at positions 355 to 824 of the family's 1533-position model. The record is from RNAcentral.